Molecule: RNase P RNA, 327 nt
Filed under: uncultured Butyricicoccus sp.
Lineage: Bacteria; Bacillati; Bacillota; Clostridia; Eubacteriales; Butyricicoccaceae
Description: Bacterial RNase P class A
Rfam family: Bacterial RNase P class A
About the family: Ribonuclease P (RNase P) is a ubiquitous endoribonuclease, found in archaea, bacteria and eukarya as well as chloroplasts and mitochondria.
Source: RNAcentral
UUCAGGCGAUCGCGUAUUGGCUUAGACCAAUAUGAGGAAAGUCCGGGCUGCACAGGGCAAGGAUAGCAGAUAACGUCUGCCGGGGGUGACCCUAGGAAUAGUGCAACAGAGAUAUACCGCCAGAAUUUUUCUGGUAAGGGUGGAAAGGCGAGGUAAGAGCUCACCACGUCCCAUGGUAACAUGGGAGGUCUGUAAACUCUAUCCGCAGCAACGUCGACUGAAACCAUGGACUGCCCGUCCGUUUCGAAUGACGGCUUGAGGCGUGUGGCGACAUACGUCCCAGAUAGAUGACCGCCAAAUACAGAACCCGGCUUAUAGACUUACUCA